CUCCUGCAUCUGCCCCCUCCUGCACAUGUGAUAAGGAGGCUGCCCCUUCCCAAAGACAGAGCUAGCGUCCCUGCUGCUCUUGCCCAAGCCACAGCCGGGAACGGCGCAUUCUGCGGGCCAGCAGGAGAGGGACCGGCCAGGGUCUGUCCUCCGCCGCGGUCUGCACCCCAGCGAAGGGUGCAUGCGUUUCCUGGCCGUCCUGCUCUUAGGGGAAAGGGAGAGGACCCAUCUCUGACCACAGUGUCCUGGGAAGGAAGAUGGAUCCAUCAAGGCCACGGGGUGUCCCUGCUCACAGAACAGAUCUCUCCAGAGGCACAAAGGAUAAACAAGCAUAAACAAAACAGCCAGAAAAGCUCUGCAAAUGAGGAAAUGGCACUGAGGAAUGGGGAACCAGAGGACCAGAUCCUCAGCCUACUGUGGUGUCACCUAGGGACCAGCCAGUGGAGUGGGGGAGGAACAACAAAAGAAGACCCACAGACUGCCCACUGCACACCAGAUGACGUGACACCUCCGCCCUGCAGGGGGUAGGAGGGGGUGAUUGGAUAGUACUCACAGAGAAGGCUGGAGCUAUGCUUUGACCCCUACACCAAGAGAAAUUCAAAAUGGGAUCCAACCAUCACACGGUACCCAUAAAUAUGCACAAUUUUAUGCAUCUGCUAAGACUUUUAUUAAAAAUUAAAAAUUAUACAUCCAUCCAAGAUUUAAAUGUGAGAAAUGAAACUACAGAUGUCUAGGCGUAAAGUGUUCUAUAAUACUCGAAGUUCUUUCCACAUGAACCAAAGUGCAGAAGCUAUAAAAGACAUAAAUGUGACUGUGGAGAAGUAUAAAACAAUUUGUGGACAAAGCCAUUAUAGAAACAGGCAAAAGAUAAAUGGCAAACAAUAAAAGUACAUCAUAACUCAUGUCACCAAGGGCUGAGCUCCAACAUGGAAGAAACUCACAGAAAUGAGAAGACAACAUAAAACAGAACAAGAGACAAAGGCCGUUCACAAAAGGCCAAGGCAAAUGGCUCCCAACGCUAGAAAACAUGUGCCACCUCCCCAACCAGGAGUUAAAGGAAAUCACUGAAAUGCAGCUUUCUGUCCAGCAGACUCUUGAGGCUUCGGGAAACAGGCUCUUGAUACUUUGCUAAUGGGAGUACAAAUUGUUAAAAAGUUCCUUGCAGGGUGACUGUCAAUACCUGGUAAAAUCACAAACGACCAUCUCCUUUGUGCAGGACUGGACUGUGGGUACCUUGUUCCACAAAUACGCCAGGCACCUACAGAUACACGCCUCAUUCUUCAACACAGCAGAAGCUUGGAAAAACAGCUCCCAGUACUGUGCAACACCCAUGCAAGGGAGCACUAUGAAAAACAAGUAGGGGUGCCUCCAAACUGCUGUGGAGGAUGCCCAAGCUGUACUGCCAAGUGAACAACCCAGGUCUCAUUGGGUGUGGUGGCACAUGCCUGUAAUCCCAGCACUCGAGAGGCUGAGGCACAAGGAUCACCAUGAGUUCGAGCCAGCCUGGGCUAUACAAGUGAGUCCAAAGGCAGCCUGCACUACACAGUAAGACCCCGUCUCAAAAAACAAAAAACAAAAACAAGAAAAACUCAAAGUAGGCCCAGCACAGAAUGCACGGAGGGUGAUCAGAUGGGCAGGAAGAUGUGUGCCCCUCCCCACCAUGUGUGCAGACUCUCGGGGGACACUGGGAAGGACAGCAGGUAGGAGACAAGGAAAGCUGCAAGAAUCUUCCCUGGGAACUGACCUUUCAGAUUUUGAGGCCCACAAAAGUGCUACCGCAUAUUCGAACAUUAGAUUAAAAACAAAAACCAGCAAACUAGAAAAUGUUCAUUGUAAUUGGUGCCAAUCUAAGACUCAGACAUUAGGAUAGAGUGCCACGCAGCAGCAGGGCUUAUGUGAGGCACUGAGUAGACAGAUGGACAGACAGACAGGAAGGAUUAAAAAGCAGACACUGAACACUCCCUGGGACCAGCCCCCCCCCCCCCCAUCAGGCUUACACACUGCCCUUAAAACAGCGGUCCCCCGAGUGGGUUUUCUUCAGCCCACGGUGGCAGUAGUGGUGGUGGUGGGGGGGGGGGGGUACUUAAAAGUAUGAGGAACUCAGAAACAGCAACCAGCAACAAACUAAUCCUCCCUUCUAGUAGACAUACCUGGGGCAGGGUUCCAAGGCUCUGGGGCUCCUCGCUCCUGUCACCCAACAAGCUGUUCUACUGAAGGGGAUCCCCGAUAAAGGUUCAGCAGGUGACUUAGAACAGGUCAGACUUAAGGAAAGACAGCAAAUAAGUACCCAGAAACAAUUUACAGGGCAGCAGACCUGGACUGCAGAUAAGGCCCCUCCUUAUUCCAAACGCCUUGCUCCUGCCAUUAAAAAGCCCUUCACGUACUGUACUGCAAACCAACCUGGGUGGGUGGGGCAGAUGCUGGCAGCCCAGAACCCAGCCAGCCACCAGCCAAAGAUCCCAAGGGCAAGGCAGGAGAGUCAUCUGUCUACAGGUGCGGGCAGGAGUGGUCACCAGGGGAGCUGCAGACUUCUGGGAGAGGGUUUUCUCUUGGAUAAAAACAGAUAAGGAAGGAAAGAGGGAGGGCAGGAAGUGUGCAGGGUGGGGGAAGCAGGCCCAGGGUGGAAAAGCCUCUCUUUCCUAUCUCUGGCAGGCCGUGCAGGGCUGUGAUGCCUAGGGUGGCACCAGCCAUCAGCAGGGCCGGGGGGGGGGGGUCUGCUGGGAAUGGACAAGUCCGACUGCCCCUUGCCAUGAGUGAGCCCUCUGCUAACCUGACACUGCUCACACAUUCCCUGCUUAAGAAGUAACACUCUCUAGGGUCAUCUG
RNAcentral lists this long non-coding RNA (2825 nucleotides) under Cavia porcellus (domestic guinea pig). RNAcentral's name for it is "lncRNA (ENSCPOG00000035911.1)". Lineage: Eukaryota; Metazoa; Chordata; Mammalia; Rodentia; Caviidae. The record is from RNAcentral.